GGUGAACCUGCGGAAGGAUCAUUACCGAGUGCGGGUCUUUAUGGCCCAACCUCCCACCCGUGACUAUUGUACCUUGUUGCUUCGGCGGGCCCGCCAGCGUUGCUGGCCGCCGGGGGGCGACUCGCCCCCGGGCCCGUGCCCGCCGGAGACCCCAACAUGAACCCUGUUCUGAAAGCUUGCAGUCUGAGUGUGAUUCUUUGCAAUCAGUUAAAACUUUCAACAAUGGAUCUCUUGGUUCCGGCAUCGAUGAAGAACGCAGCGAAAUGCGAUAACUAAUGUGAAUUGCAGAAUUCAGUGAAUCAUCGAGUCUUUGAACGCACAUUGCGCCCCCUGGUAUUCCGGGGGGCAUGCCUGUCCGAGCGUCAUUGCUGCCCUCAAGCCCGGCUUGUGUGUUGGGCCCUCGUCCCCCGGCUCCCGGGGGACGGGCCCGAAAGGCAGCGGCGGCACCGCGUCCGGUCCUCGAGCGUAUGGGGCUUCGUCUUCCGCUCCGUAGGCCCGGC
This 500-nucleotide ribosomal RNA is filed under the name Aspergillus terreus. Its description in RNAcentral is "partial 18S ribosomal RNA". The stretch from base 212 to 365 matches the Rfam family "5.8S ribosomal RNA". The record is from RNAcentral. Lineage: Eukaryota; Fungi; Ascomycota; Eurotiomycetes; Eurotiales; Aspergillaceae.